CAAAGAGUAGUUUAAUUAAAAUAUUAGUUUUGGAGAUUAAUGAUAGGGGAAACUCUUUCUUUGA
Molecule: transfer RNA, 64 nt
Filed under: Dianemobius fascipes
Lineage: Eukaryota; Metazoa; Arthropoda; Insecta; Orthoptera; Trigonidiidae
Also listed under: 1 other name
Description: tRNA-Pro
Source: RNAcentral